Non-coding RNA from Caranx melampygus (bluefin trevally), 72 nucleotides. Lineage: Eukaryota; Metazoa; Chordata; Actinopteri; Carangiformes; Carangidae. The record is from the annotation of a GenBank genome assembly.
UUACUGGUGGUCUAGUGGUUAGGAUUCAGUACUCUCCACGUCACGACUCGGGUUCGAUUCCCGGUCAAGGAA